GACGAACGCUGGCGGCGCGCCUAACACAUGCAAGUCGAACGGAGCUGAGAGAAGCUUGCUUUUCUUAGCUUAGUGGCGAACGGGUGAGUAACGCGUGAGUAACCUGCCCUGGAGUGGGGGACAACAGUUGGAAACGACUGCAAUACCGCAUAAGCCCACGAUCCGGCAUCGGAUUGAGGGAAAAGGAUUUAUUCGCUUCAGGAUGGACUCGCGUCCAAUUAGCUAGUUGGUGAGGUAACGGCCCACCAAGGCGACGAUUGGUAGCCGGACUGAGAGGUUGAACGGCCACAUUGGGACUGAGACACGGCCCAGACUCCUACGGGAGGCAGCAGUGGGGGAUAUUGCACAAUGGGGGAAACCCUGAUGCAGCGACGCCGCGUGGAGGAAGAAGGUUUUCGGAUUGUAAACUCCUGUCGUUAGGGACGAUAAUGACGGUACCUAACAAGAAAGCACCGGCUAACUACGUG
RNAcentral lists this ribosomal RNA (467 nucleotides) under uncultured bacterium. Its description in RNAcentral is "partial 16S ribosomal RNA". It matches the Rfam family "Bacterial small subunit ribosomal RNA", at positions 28 to 507 of the family's 1533-position model. The record is from RNAcentral.